Molecule: ribosomal RNA, 637 nt
Filed under: uncultured bacterium
Lineage: Bacteria
Description: bacterial SSU rRNA
Rfam family: Bacterial small subunit ribosomal RNA
Source: RNAcentral
CGCGGCCUAUCAGCUUGUUGGCGGGGUAAUGGCCCACCAAGGCUUCGACGGGUAGCUGGUCUGAGAGGACGAUCAGCCACACUGGGACUGAGACACGGCCCAGACUCCUACGGGAGGCAGCAGUAGGGAAUCUUGCGCAAUGGGCGAAAGCCUGACGCAGCAACGCCGCGUGAGGGACGAAGGCUUUCUGAGUUGUAAACCUCUUUCGGCAGGGACGAUUAUGACGGUACCUGCAGAAGAAGCACCGGCCAACUACGUGCCAGCAGCCGCGGUGAUACGUAGGGUGCAAGCGUUAUUCGGAUUUAUUGGGCGUAAAGAGCUCGUAGGCGGUUCGAUAAGUCGGGUGUGAAACCCUCAGGCUUAACCUGGGGCAGCCACUCGAAACUGUCGUGACUAGAGUUUGGUAGGGGAUCACGGAAUUCCUGGUGUAGCGGUGGAAUGCGCAGAUAUCAGGAGGAACACCAGUAGCGAAGGCGGUGAUCUGGGCCAAUACUGACGCUGAGGAGCGAAAGCGUGGGGAGCGAACAGGAUUAGAUACCCUGGUAGUCCACGCCGUAAACGGUGGGCACUAGGUGUGGGGACUUUUCAACGGUUUCCGCGCCGCAGCUAACGCAUUAAGUGCCCCGCCUGGGGAGUA